AAGCACCCUGGGACUUGUAGUCUCGCCCCCGCCCGCCCGCCGGCCGUUGCCCCCUCAGCCCCCGGAGGCAGCGUCCUGCGACCAGCACCCCGCGGGUCAGUUGCCUUCGUGCUACCUGGGCUCCAAGUCCUCGCCCUGCCGGAUGAAGCAAUGGUCUAUUUCUUUACGGCAGUGUCUCAGAUCUUUUUAUAGGCCCUUGGAAAGUUCCCAGCCCAGUACCUGGCCAUUGUCCUAUGGAUAAAAUAGAACCACCUGUGUUUGGUGGGAGAAGGGCUGAGGGGGACCUCUCUGGACACUGCCCUCCCCAACCAGCAGCCAUGUAGAAAGAUGGCAAGAUGAAGUCACUCAGUGGCCUUGAGAGACCAAAAGGAUCACGAUAACAUUGGUGACUUCUCUGGACCAGCCAUAGCCCUCUCCCCUGGUUUUUCUUGCGUGCUGGGGGCCUCAAAAUGACUGAAAUUGGAAAUAUUAUUCAUUCAUUUAUUCAGUGUUUACUGAGCCAUAAAUCAAUACCACCCUUAACGAAAGCAAUUUGGCAUCAUCUGUUAAAAUGACAACUGCAAAUACCCUUUGAUUCAGCGAUUCCACU
RNAcentral lists this long non-coding RNA (589 nucleotides) under Gorilla gorilla gorilla (western lowland gorilla). RNAcentral describes it as "lncRNA (ENSGGOG00000044348.1)". The record is from RNAcentral. Lineage: Eukaryota; Metazoa; Chordata; Mammalia; Primates; Hominidae.